RNAcentral lists this ribosomal RNA (246 nucleotides) under uncultured Lactobacillus sp. RNAcentral describes it as "partial 16S ribosomal RNA". It matches the Rfam family "Bacterial small subunit ribosomal RNA", at positions 116 to 355 of the family's 1533-position model. The record is from RNAcentral. Lineage: Bacteria; Bacillati; Bacillota; Bacilli; Lactobacillales; Lactobacillaceae.
CGUGGGUAACCUGCCCAAGAGAUCGGGAUAACACCUGGAAACAGAUGCUAAUACCGGAUAACAACAGAUGAUGCCUAUCAACUGUUUAAAAGAUGGUUCUGCUAUCACUCUUGGAUGGACCUGCGGUGCAUUAGCUAGUUGGUAGGGUAACGGCCUACCAAGGCGAUGAUGCAUAGCCGAGUUGAGAGACUGAUCGGCCACAUUGGGACUGAAACACGGCCCAAACUCCUACGGGAGGCAGCAGCC